AUGAUUGAGAGGAUUGACAACGCGACAAACCGUCAGCUGACCUUCUCCAAGCAGCGCGGAGGGCUGAUGAAGAAGGCCUGGGAGCUCGCCAUCCUCUGCGAGGCCGAUCUCGCGCUCAUCGUCUUCUCCAGCACGGGUCGCCUCUACGACUUUGCAAGCUCUAGGCCUGUAGUUAAUUAA
Molecule: ribosomal RNA, 180 nt
Filed under: Triticum aestivum (bread wheat)
Lineage: Eukaryota; Viridiplantae; Streptophyta; Magnoliopsida; Poales; Poaceae
Description: partial small subunit ribosomal RNA
Source: RNAcentral